RNAcentral lists this non-coding RNA (160 nucleotides) under uncultured Muribaculum sp. The record is from RNAcentral. Lineage: Bacteria; Pseudomonadati; Bacteroidota; Bacteroidia; Bacteroidales; Muribaculaceae.
GGUUGCCGUGACGGCAUUAAUAGGGAACCGGGUGAGAAUCCCGGACAGUCCCGCUGCUGUAUGUUCUAUCACAGGAUGGUGAGAAAUAUCCACUGAAUGAAUUGAUGUUUGGGAAGGAUUUACCACUCCGGAACAAGUCAGAAGACCUGCCUUUUCUUAA